AUUUGGGGCAUGGCCCAUAAGCUGAGGUGACUCAGUGAAAGGUGAGGGUGACUCCUCGCCGCCCGCAAGGGU
RNAcentral lists this transfer RNA (72 nucleotides) under Mycobacterium phage PegLeg. RNAcentral's name for it is "tRNA-Asn". The record is from RNAcentral. Lineage: Duplodnaviria; Heunggongvirae; Uroviricota; Caudoviricetes; Vilmaviridae.